ACCUUUACCUCAUGGCGAGAUACCAUGAUCAUGAAGAUGUUUUUACCAGAGCGAGGUUUAUUCAUUGCACUCCGGAUGUGUUGGUCCCAAAGGCGGGGAAACUCGACUGCAUAAUUUGUGAUAAUGGGGACUGCCCCCUG
RNAcentral lists this small nuclear RNA (140 nucleotides) under Mesocricetus auratus (golden hamster). Its description in RNAcentral is "U1 spliceosomal RNA (ENSMAUG00000007793.1)". It matches the Rfam family "U1 spliceosomal RNA". Rfam says of the family: U1 is a small nuclear RNA (snRNA) component of the spliceosome (involved in pre-mRNA splicing). Its 5' end forms complementary base pairs with the 5' splice junction, thus defining the 5' donor site of an intron. There are significant differences in sequence and secondary structure between metazoan and yeast U1 snRNAs, the latter being much longer (568 nucleotides as compared to 164 nucleotides in human). Lineage: Eukaryota; Metazoa; Chordata; Mammalia; Rodentia; Cricetidae. The record is from RNAcentral.